UACGUAGGUGGCGAGCGUUGUCCGGAUUUACUGGGCGUAAAGAGCGCGCAGGCGGCUGGUCAAGUCCGAUGUGAAAGCUCCCGGCUUAACUGGGAAAUUGCAUCGGAAACUGAUCGGCUGGAAGGUGGGAGAGGGUAGCGGAAUUCCCGGUGUAGUGGUGAAAUGCGUAGAUAUCAGGAGGAACACCAAUGGCGAAGGCAGCUCGCUGGGACGGUACUGACGCUGAGACGCGAAAGCGUGGGGAGCAAACAGG
Molecule: ribosomal RNA, 253 nt
Filed under: uncultured bacterium
Lineage: Bacteria
Description: partial 16S ribosomal RNA
Rfam family: Bacterial small subunit ribosomal RNA
Source: RNAcentral